UGCAUUAGCAUUUUGCGCGGGAAUAGAAGAUUAGCUUGAUAUCCGUUCAGGAAAUUUAUUGUGGCCGAAUGUAAAUGGAAAAGUUUUUAUAAACCAGAGACAAAUCUUCAAACAGACCUAGAAUAGACAUAAGGCCUGCAAAUGCGACCUCCGGAGGCUGCAGCCUUCAGUUUCCAAGCGAGCCACUUCUUUUUGGAGCUUGAGCUCGCCGACGGGGAUUCCGUGACAGGGCAGGGAUUACAGACCAUUGAGGCAUGCGUAGCGGUGAAUGAAUCAAUCAGAAGAAUCAACCUCACAGAGAGUCAGAGCAUCUUUCACAAGAACAUGCGCACCACUUACAGUACAAGUUGCAAUGAGCUGUACGUCACCCUUCAGGAGAGUAAAUUGAAGGGAAGAAAUGGUUUUGUCGCCACCUGGUGAUCAUCCUGUUAGCUGAUGUUUGUGAAAAGUGUUUGCUGUAAAAACGAAUAUAUACAGUAGCCUGUAUAAUGUAUAUGGUUGCCAUGCAAGAGCAAUGAAAUAAAGUAUAUGUGCAUUCAUGUUUUUAUUUACUUAUUUUGCAUUAAUUAUAAUUAUACAUUACUGGAAAGCACAAACCAUUCAUUUAUAAAUAGUUGAAUACUCUUGAAAGGCAUUUGCUUUCAUAUGCUCAGAUUCGUUUUAUGUACAAAACACUUGAUGAUCCUUAUUGUCUUCUAGGACCACUACAAAAGUCUUUUUAUGUUUGCU
This is a non-coding RNA of Misgurnus anguillicaudatus (oriental weatherfish), 729 nucleotides long. The record is from RefSeq and is a predicted model, not a curated record. Lineage: Eukaryota; Metazoa; Chordata; Actinopteri; Cypriniformes; Cobitidae.